Molecule: ribosomal RNA, 712 nt
Filed under: Pantoea dispersa
Lineage: Bacteria; Pseudomonadati; Pseudomonadota; Gammaproteobacteria; Enterobacterales; Erwiniaceae
Description: bacterial SSU rRNA
Rfam family: Bacterial small subunit ribosomal RNA
Source: RNAcentral
CUCAGAUUGAACGCUGGCGGCAGGCCUAACACAUGCAAGUCGAACGGCAGCACAGAAGAGCUUGCUCUUUGGGUGGCGAGUGGCGGACGGGUGAGUAAUGUCUGGGAAACUGCCCGAUGGAGGGGGAUAACUACUGGAAACGGUAGCUAAUACCGCAUAACGUCGCAAGACCAAAGUGGGGGACCUUCGGGCCUCACACCAUCGGAUGUGCCCAGAUGGGAUUAGCUAGUAGGUGGGGUAAUGGCUCACCUAGGCGACGAUCCCUAGCUGGUCUGAGAGGAUGACCAGCCACACUGGAACUGAGACACGGUCCAGACUCCUACGGGAGGCAGCAGUGGGGAAUAUUGCACAAUGGGCGCAAGCCUGAUGCAGCCAUGCCGCGUGUAUGAAGAAGGCCUUCGGGUUGUAAAGUACUUUCAGCGGGGAGGAAGGCGGUGAGGUUAAUAACCUCGCCGAUUGACGUUACCCGCAGAAGAAGCACCGGCUAACUCCGUGCCAGCAGCCGCGGUAAUACGGAGGGUGCAAGCGUUAAUCGGAAUUACUGGGCGUAAAGCGCACGCAGGCGGUCUGUUAAGUCAGAUGUGAAAUCCCCGGGCUUAACCUGGGAACUGCAUUUGAAACUGGCAGGCUUGAGUCUCGUAGAGGGGGGUAGAAUUCCAGGUGUAGCGGUGAAAUGCGUAGAGAUCUGGAGGAAUACCGGUGGCGAAGGCGG